AUUGAACGCUGGCGGCAGGCCUAACACAUGCAAGUCGAACGGUAACAGGAAACAGCUUGCUGUUUCGCUGACGAGUGGCGGACGGGUGAGUAAUGUCUGGGAAACUGCCUGAUGGAGGGGGAUAACUACUGGAAGCGGUAGCUAAUACCGCAUAACGUCGCAAGACCAAAGAGGGGGACCUUCGGGCCUCUUGCCAUCGGAUGUGCCCAGAUGGGAUUAGCUAGUAGGUGGGGUAACGGCUCACCUAGGCGACGAUCCCUAGCUGGUCUGAGAGGAUGACCAGCCACACUGGAACUGUGACACGGUCCAGACUCCUACGGGAGGCAGCAGUGGGGAAUAUUGCACAAUGGGCGCAAGCCUGAUGCAGCCAUGCCGCGUGUAUGAAGAAGGCCUUCGGGUUGUAAAGUACUUUCAGCGGGGAGGAAGGGAGUAAAGUUAAUACCUUUGCUAAUUGACGUUACCCGCAGAAGAAGCACCGGCUAACUCCGUG
RNAcentral lists this ribosomal RNA (490 nucleotides) under uncultured bacterium. RNAcentral's name for it is "partial 16S ribosomal RNA". It matches the Rfam family "Bacterial small subunit ribosomal RNA", at positions 30 to 507 of the family's 1533-position model. The record is from RNAcentral.